Long non-coding RNA from Heterocephalus glaber (naked mole-rat), 620 nucleotides. Lineage: Eukaryota; Metazoa; Chordata; Mammalia; Rodentia; Bathyergidae. The record is from Ensembl.
GUCCAGUCAUUGGGGACCUAGUCUGCAUUUUGUGAUUCUCCAGAGGGGCACUAAGGGGCCAGCCUACUCCCAUCGCAUUCUACUGGCAAGAACUCAAGUCAGAUGGCUGCAUCUACUCCAAGGAGGAGAGAGUAGGGUUGCCACAAAUAAUUUUUCAGUAUAAUUAUAUUCCAGAUAGUUUAUAUGACAUCCUUAUGCUAAGGAAUUCUUCAUUUAUAUGAAAUUCAAAUGGUACUAGACAUCCUUAUUUUUAUUUGUUAAUCUGGUGGCCCUACUGAGAAGUGAAGUCUUGCUGUGGGUUCAGGAAGACAAGAACACAGAUAUUUGUCACAGUGUGACAUCAGGAGCCAAUACCUCUCUCAGAAACACUUGUCCAUUCCCUAGAGAAAUAACACCAAAUCUCAUCUGGUCAUUCAUUAUGUUCAGCUCGAAGUCUCUUCACCAGCUUUAGACUCCCAUUUUGAAAAGGAUUCAGGAGAGAUACAGCAGUCUGGUCUGAAGCCCUUCUGAAUUCCCACUGGUCACGCCUACUUCCCCAGCCAGUUUUGCCAGGCCCUAACUCCUACAUCAGUAGGACUGAGAUCCUUUCAAGAAGAGAAUUUGUGUGUACUGAAGAGGCC